RNAcentral lists this small nuclear RNA (141 nucleotides) under Suricata suricatta (meerkat). Its description in RNAcentral is "U2 spliceosomal RNA (ENSSSUG00005015774.1)". It matches the Rfam family "U2 spliceosomal RNA". From Rfam's summary of the family: U2 is a small nuclear RNA (snRNA) component of the spliceosome (involved in pre-mRNA splicing). Complementary binding between U2 snRNA (in an area lying towards the 5' end but 3' to hairpin I) and the branchpoint sequence (BPS) of the intron results the bulging out of an unpaired adenosine, on the BPS, which initiates a nucleophilic attack at the intronic 5' splice site, thus starting the first of two transesterification reactions that mediate splicing. Lineage: Eukaryota; Metazoa; Chordata; Mammalia; Carnivora; Herpestidae. The record is from Rfam by way of RNAcentral.
CCCUCUUCUCGGCCUUUUGGCUAAGGUCAAGUGUAGUAUCUGUUCUUAUCAGUUUAACUUGUCAGUAUUAACCACAGGAUCAACUGAUUCCUUAUAUAAGAUGUAAAGAAUUCAGGAAAUGGCAGAGGAUUUGGAAUUAUA